CCUACGGGAUGCUGCAGUGAGGAAUAUUGGUCCAUGGGCGGAAGCCUGAACCAGCCAAGUCGCGUGAGGGAUUAAGGCCCUGCGUGUCGUAAACCUCUUUUGCCGGGGAGCAGAGGUCCGGACGUGUCCGGGCCGGGAGAGUACCCGGAGAAAAAGCAUCGGCUAACUCAGUGCCAGCAGCCGCGGUAAGACGUAGGAUGCGCGCGUUAUCCGGUUUUAUUGGGUUUAAAGGGUGCGCAGGCGGGCAUUUAAGCCGGCGGUCAAAUGUCGGGGCUCAACCCCGGCCUGCCGUCGGAACUGGGUGCCUUGAGUGGGCGAGAAGUAUGCGGAAUGCGUGGUGUAGCGGUGAAAUGCAUAGAUAUCACGCAGAACCCCGAUUGCGAAGGCAGCAUACCGGCGCCCUACUGACGCUGAGGCACGAAAGUGCGGGUAUCGAACAGGAUUAGAUACCCUAGUAGUC
Molecule: ribosomal RNA, 460 nt
Filed under: uncultured bacterium
Lineage: Bacteria
Description: partial 16S ribosomal RNA
Rfam family: Bacterial small subunit ribosomal RNA
Source: RNAcentral